RNAcentral lists this ribosomal RNA (254 nucleotides) under uncultured bacterium. RNAcentral describes it as "partial 16S ribosomal RNA". It matches the Rfam family "Bacterial small subunit ribosomal RNA", at positions 79 to 334 of the family's 1533-position model. The record is from RNAcentral.
CUUUCUUUGCUGGCGACCUGCGCACGGGUGAGUAACACGUAUCCAACCUGCCCUUUACUCGGGGAUAGCCUUUCGAAAGAAAGAUUAAUACCCGAUAGCAUAAUGAUUCCGCAUGGUUUCAUUAUUAAAGGAUUCCGGUAAAGGAUGGGGAUGCGUUCCAUUAGGUUGUUGGUGAGGUAACGGCCCACCAAGCCUUCGAUGGAUAGGGGUUCUGAGAGGAAGGUCCCCCACAUUGGAACUGAGACACGGUCCAA